GAGGAAUAUUGCGCAAUGGACGAAAGUCUGACGCAGCCAUGCCGCGUGCAGGAUGACGGCGCUAUGCGUUGUAAACUGCUUUUAUUUACAAAGAAACCUCGGGACGUGUCCCGAGCUGACGGUAGUAUUUGAAUAAGCACCGGCUAACUCCGUGCCAGCAGCCGCGGUAAUACGGAGGGUGCAAGCGUUAUCCGGAUUUAUUGGGUUUAAAGGGUCCGUAGGCGGAUGAUUAAGUCAGUGGUGAAAGCCCACAGCUCAACUGUGGAACUGCCAUUGAUACUGAUCAUCUUGAGUACAUUUGAAGUUGGCGGAAUAGGUCAUGUAGCGGUGAAAUGCUUAGAUAUGACCUAGAACACCGAUUGCGAAGGCAGCCAACUAAGCUGUAACUGACGCUGAGGGACGAAAGCGUGGGGAGCGAACAGG
Molecule: ribosomal RNA, 423 nt
Filed under: uncultured bacterium
Lineage: Bacteria
Description: bacterial SSU rRNA
Rfam family: Bacterial small subunit ribosomal RNA
Source: RNAcentral